AGCGAACGCUGGCGGCAGGCCUAACACAUGCAAGUCGAACGAACUCUUCGGAGUUAGUGGCGGACGGGUGAGUAACACGUGGGAACGUGCCUUUAGGUUCGGAAUAACUCAGGGAAACUUGUGCUAAUACCGAAUGUGCCCUUCGGGGGAAAGAUUUAUCGCCUUUAGAGCGGCCCGCGUCUGAUUAGCUAGUUGGUGAGGUAAAGGCUCACCAAGGCGACGAUCAGUAGCUGGUCUGAGAGGAUGAUCAGCCACAUUGGGACUGAGACACGGCCCAAACUCCUACGGGAGGCAGCAGUGGGGAAUCUUGCACAAUGGGCGAAAGCCUGACGCAGCCAUGCCGCGUGAAUGAUGAAGGUCUUAGGAUUGUAAAAUUCUUUCACCGGGGACGAUAAUGACGGUACCCGGAGAGGAAGCCCCGGCUAACUUCGUGCCAGCCGCCGCGGUAA
RNAcentral lists this ribosomal RNA (449 nucleotides) under uncultured bacterium. Its description in RNAcentral is "partial 16S ribosomal RNA". It matches the Rfam family "Bacterial small subunit ribosomal RNA", at positions 29 to 523 of the family's 1533-position model. The record is from RNAcentral.